RNAcentral lists this transfer RNA (64 nucleotides) under Antrostomus carolinensis (chuck-will's-widow). RNAcentral's name for it is "Caprimulgus carolinensis (chuck-will's-widow) tRNA". It matches the Rfam family "tRNA". Rfam says of the family: Transfer RNA (tRNA) molecules are approximately 80 nucleotides in length. Their secondary structure includes four short double-helical elements and three loops (D, anti-codon, and T loops). The record is from Rfam by way of RNAcentral. Lineage: Eukaryota; Metazoa; Chordata; Aves; Caprimulgiformes; Caprimulgidae.
ACUCAGUCGGUAGCACAUGGGACUCUUAUUCCCAGGGUUGUGGGUUCGAGCCCCACAUUGGGUG